Molecule: ribosomal RNA, 425 nt
Filed under: uncultured bacterium
Lineage: Bacteria
Description: partial 16S ribosomal RNA
Rfam family: Bacterial small subunit ribosomal RNA
Source: RNAcentral
GUGGGGAAUCUUGCGCAAUGGGCGAAAGCCUGACGCAGCCAUGCCGCGUGAAUGAUGAAGGUCUUAGGAUUGUAAAAUUCUUUCACCGGGGACGAUAAUGACGGUACCCGGAGAAGAAGCUCCGGCUAACUUCGUGCCAGCAGCCGCGGUAAUACGAAGGGGGCUAGCGUUGCUCGGAAUUACUGGGCGUAAGGGGCGCGUAGGCGGACAGCUCAGUCAGAGGUGAAAGCCCAGGGCUAAACCUUGGAAUUGCCUUUGAUACUGGCUGUCUUGAGUUUGGGAGAGGUGAGUGGAACUCCGAGUGUAGAGGUGAAAUUCGUAGAUAUUCGGAAGAACACCAGUGGCGAAGGCGACUCACUGGCCCAAUACUGACGCUGAGGCGCGAAAGCGUGGGGAGCAAACAGGAUUAGAUACCCUAGUAGUCC